GGGGAAGUGUGUGUUCUUGAAUUUCCAAAUUGUCGAAGAAUAUCUUUUAAAGUACAAUAAAUUACUCGUAAACUGAAAUAAACAAAAUAUAUAAAAUAGAAGCCCAAAUUUGUUUUAGGUGUAACAAACAUAAAAUUGCUUUGUCUGGUUGAUAAAGAAAAGUUUCUGGACACUCUCAAUUGUGUAUUUUUUUGGUUUUUCAGGCAACCUCACUUGGUCUACAACUGAUAUCUUACUUUUUGCCUUGGCCGACAAGUCUCAAGAUGUGAAUGAAGCUUCUAGCAAACGGUUGUCUCUCUCACCAAAUGAGUCUGUAAAGGAAGAAUAUACCCAACUGUGAUUGGCUGUCACACCGACUUUCAGGGCAUGGGGACAUUCAAAAGCAACGGGAAAUGGGCUUCAUAAAAGGUAGGUGUUUGGCCCCUUUGACAGUAAAAAUUGAACUACCUUCUCUGGCAACAGCAUAUGCAAC
RNAcentral lists this long non-coding RNA (472 nucleotides) under Felis catus (domestic cat). Its description in RNAcentral is "lncRNA (ENSFCAG00000044190.2)". Lineage: Eukaryota; Metazoa; Chordata; Mammalia; Carnivora; Felidae. The record is from RNAcentral.